AGCGAACGCUGGCGGCAGGCUUAACACAUGCAAGUCGAGCGGGCACUUUCGGGUGUCAGCGGCGGACGGGUGAGUAACGCGUGGGAACGUGCCCUCUGGUUCGGAAUAACUCAGGGAAACUUGAGCUAAUACCGGAUACGCCCUUUUGGGGAAAGGCUUGCUGCCGGAGGAUCGGCCCGCGUCUGAUUAGCUAGUUGGUGAGGUAACGGCUCACCAAGGCGACGAUCAGUAGCUGGUCUGAGAGGAUGAUCAGCCACACCGGGACUGAGACACGGCCCAGACUCCUACGGGAGGCAGCAGUGGGGAAUAUUGGACAAUGGGCGCAAGCCUGAUCCAGCCAUGCCGCGUGAGUGAUGAAGGCCUUAGGGUUGUAAAGCUCUUUUAUCCGGGACGAUAAUGACGGUACCGGAGGAAUAAGCCCCGGCUAACUUCGUG
Molecule: ribosomal RNA, 435 nt
Filed under: uncultured bacterium
Lineage: Bacteria
Description: partial 16S ribosomal RNA
Rfam family: Bacterial small subunit ribosomal RNA
Source: RNAcentral